AUUGAACGCUGGCGGCAGGCCUAACACAUGCAAGUCGAGCGAGCGGCGGACGGGUGAGUAAUGUAUGGGGACUGCCCGAUAGAGGGGGAUAACUACUGGAAACGGUAGCUAAUACCGCAUACUAUCGGAUAACCCAUAUGGGAUUAGCUAGUAGGUAGGGUAAUGGCUCACCUAGGCGACGAUCCCUAGCUGGACUGAGAGGAUGAUCAGCCACACUGGGACUGAGACACGGCCCAGACGCCUACGGAGGCAGCAGUGGGGAAUAUUGGACAAUGGGCGCAAGCCUGAUGCAGCCAUGCCGCGUGUGUGAUGAAGGCCCUAGGGUUGUAAAGUACUUUCAGUCGGGAGGCGUUACCGACAGAAGAAGCACCGGCUAACUCCGUGCCAGCAGCCGCGGUAAUAC
This 403-nucleotide ribosomal RNA is filed under the name uncultured bacterium. RNAcentral describes it as "partial 16S ribosomal RNA". It matches the Rfam family "Bacterial small subunit ribosomal RNA", at positions 30 to 526 of the family's 1533-position model. The record is from RNAcentral.